UAGGGCUGGCAAACGAGCGAGCCGGCUCGCGUUCGACUCGUGUUCGGCUUGAUAUUCGGCUCGCUCGAGCUCGACUCGAAAUUAAAUGAGCUGAGCUUGAACAAAAUAAAAGGCUCGAAAUUCAUUUCAAGCCGAGCUUGAGUAUUACUCGGCUCGUUCGAAUUAGGCUCGAAAAGCUCGAAUAUAUAUAUAUAUAUAUA
Molecule: long non-coding RNA, 200 nt
Filed under: Ananas comosus (pineapple)
Lineage: Eukaryota; Viridiplantae; Streptophyta; Magnoliopsida; Poales; Bromeliaceae
Description: long non-coding RNA (ACOM_LNC018861)
Source: RNAcentral